GAUGAACGCUGGCGGCGUGCCUAAUACAUGCAAGUCGAGCGAACAGACGAGAGUGCUUGCCCUCUCUGACGUUAGCGGCGGACGGGUGAGUAACACGUGGGUAACCUACCUAUAAGACUGGGAUAACUUCGGGAAACCGGAGCUAAUACCGGAUAAUAUUUAGCUUCGCAUGAAGCAAUAGUGAAAGACGGUUCUGCUGUCACUUAUAGAUGGACCCGCGGUGUAUUAGCUAGUUGGUGAGGUAACGGCUCACCAAGGCAACGAUACAUAGCCGACCUGAGAGGGUGAUCGGCCACACUGGGACUGAGACACGGCCCAGACUCCUACGGGAGGAAGCAGUAGGGAAUCUUCCGCAAUGGACGAAAGUCUGACGGAGCAAUGCCGCGUGAGUGAAGAAGGUUUUCGGAUCGUAAAACUCUGUUGUAAGGGAAGAACAAGUACGUUAGUAACUGAACGUACCUUGACGGUACCUUACCAGAAAGCCACGGCUAACUACGUG
This 499-nucleotide ribosomal RNA is filed under the name uncultured bacterium. RNAcentral describes it as "partial 16S ribosomal RNA". It matches the Rfam family "Bacterial small subunit ribosomal RNA", at positions 28 to 507 of the family's 1533-position model. The record is from RNAcentral.